This 306-nucleotide ribosomal RNA is filed under the name uncultured bacterium. Its description in RNAcentral is "bacterial SSU rRNA". It matches the Rfam family "Bacterial small subunit ribosomal RNA", at positions 28 to 319 of the family's 1533-position model. The record is from RNAcentral.
GAUGAACGCUAGCGGCAGGCUUAACACAUGCAAGUCGAGGGGCAGCAUGACACGGAGAUUCGUCGAAGUGUUGAUGGCGACCGGCGCAAGGGUGCGUAACGCGUGAGCAACUUGCCCCGUUUCUGGGGGAAUAACCGUUGGAAACGACGACUAAUACCCCCAUAGUAUCAGAUGGAGGCAUCUUUUGAAGUUGAAAGUUCAGGCGGUUAUGGAUGGGCAUGCGUUGUAUUAGCUAGAUGGUGAGGUAACGGCUCACCAUGGCUACGAUACAUAGGGGACUGAGAGGUUAACCCCCCACACCUGGUA